This 912-nucleotide ribosomal RNA is filed under the name Acanthotrema brasilianum. Its description in RNAcentral is "eukaryotic LSU rRNA". It matches the Rfam family "Eukaryotic large subunit ribosomal RNA", at positions 40 to 973 of the family's 3401-position model. The record is from RNAcentral. Lineage: Eukaryota; Fungi; Ascomycota; Lecanoromycetes; Ostropales; Graphidaceae.
AUAUCAAUAAGCGGAGGAAAAGAAACCAACAGGGAUUGCCCUAGUAACGGCGAGUGAAGCGGCAAAAGCUCAAAUUUGAAAUCUGACCUUUUGGUCCGAGUUGUAAUUUGGAGAAGGUGCUUCGGGUGCGAUAGCAUUCCAAGUCCCUUGGAAUUGGGCAUUUGAGAGGGUGAGAAUCCCGUAUAUGAUUGCGCGUCAAACCCGUGUGAAGCCCUUUCGACGAGUCGAGUUGUUUGGGAAUGCAGCUCUAAGCGGGUGGUAAAUUCCAUCUAAGGCUAAAUAUCUGCCAGAGACCGAUAGUGCACAAGUAGAGUGAUCGAAAGAUGAAAAGCACUUUGAAAAGAGAGUGAAAUAGUACGUGAAAUUGUUGAAAGGGAAGCGCUUGCAACCAGAUUCGACCGUGGAUGUUCAGCUACCCUCUGGGGUGGUGUAUUCACCUGCGGGACGGGCCAGCAUCGGUUUCGGCGGUUGAAUAAAAGCUUGGGGAAUGUAGCUGUCUUCGGGCAGUGUUAUAGCCUCUUGAGUGAUUCGUCCCGCCGGGACCGAGGAUAGCGCCUUGUGCUAGGAUGCUGGCGUAAUGGUUGUCAGCGACCCGUCUUGAAACACGGACCAAGGAGUGGACCAACUGCGCGAGUGUUUGGGCAGAAAACCCAUGCGCGAAAUGAAAGUGAACGGAGGUGGGAGCUCUCGAGCGCACCAUCGACCGAUCUUGAUGUCUUCGGAUGGAUUUGAGUACGAGCGUAGUUGUUCCGACCCGAAAGAUGGUGAACUAUGCGUGAAUAGGGUGAAGCCAAAGGAAACUCUGGUGGAGGCUCGCAGCGGUUCUGACGUGCAAAUCGAUCGUCAAAUUUGCGUAUAGGGGCGAAAGACUAAUCGAACCAUCUAGUAGCUGGUUCCUGCCGAAGUUUCCCU